Mirounga angustirostris (Northern elephant seal) is the source of this 1277-nucleotide long non-coding RNA. RefSeq lists it as uncharacterized. NCBI's taxonomy places the organism in Eukaryota, Metazoa, Chordata, Mammalia, Carnivora, Phocidae. The record is from RefSeq and is a predicted model, not a curated record. The transcript has 3 exons.
GCUCCAUGAGGGCUUUACUGGGCUAGGGGACGCCGGCGGGGCAGCAAGGCCGAGGCCGGCGAGAAGCGGGAAGCGGGAAGCAGGACCGGGACCGGGUGUAGCCGGGGACCAAAAGGCCGAGGGUCGGCCGCCAUCAGUGUUUGCAGGCCACCUGAGAUAGGGCGGAGGAGCUUGAGGAGUUCAGAAAGCGGGCUGUGGACUCCUGUCUGGGACUUUGGUUUAUGCCCUGGCUUCGGCCUUACUUGUAUUUCCCCGCAAGAACGGCUCCUCUCAGUCUUUGCUGAAGUUGGGGGUUGGACUUUAUUAUCAUCAUUUUGUGGAGGGUCCACUGUAUGUAAGCACUGGUCCUGCGCCGAGCGCUAUGGAGACAGCCAUGAGGUAGAAGCUUGGGGAGGGAGGGCUUAGAGAUGCUUGAGGUAUGUUCCUUACCCACCUGCAAUGUUGGAGAGAGCACAAGCAGGGGGAAGGCAGGGAAAGGGAGAAGCAGGCUCCCACUGAGCAGAGAGCCCUACGUGGGGCUCCAUCCGAGGACUCUGGGAUCAUGACCUGAGCCGAAGGCAGACGCUUAACGGUCUGAGCCACCCAGGUGCCGCUGUUUUCUCAUUUAUAACAUGUACUUCACCUGUAGAGGGUGAUGAGCUAACGGAUCAAUCAUAACCCCUGUAAAACAGGUACUUUGUUAGUUUCUCUCUUUUUAUGGAGUUUAGUUGCUGAAUGGCCAACACAGAACAACAGCUGCCAGUUUUUAACUAAGGACUAUCAAUCUAUUGACAUUUAUAGAUGGCUGAAGGAAGCAUAUGCUGUCUCCAGAAUUGUUACUUAGAUACAGACAAUACCGUGCUGAUAGUCUGGGGAGGAUGACAUUGUGACCCAAGUACUUUUCCAUGUCGGUGAUAGCAUACCACCAGAGUGUGUCAUUUAGAAUAAAUGAAAUGCAGUCAACUUUCUUAUUCAGAAAUCGAUUAUCCAGGUUGUGAAUUAUCUAGACUUUUGCAUUACCUUUUUUUUUUUUUUUUUAAGAUUUUACAUAAUCUCCACACCCAAGGUGGGGAUCGAAAUCACAGCCCUAAGAUCAAGAGUCCCAUGCUCCACUGACUGAGCCAGCCAGGCGCCCCUGCAUUGCUUCUGUUAUCUUGCCAAUGGUCUGGAGAAAAAUGAAAGUUGAGGUGAAAAAUCUGGCUUUGAUAUCUUCGUGGAGGUCUACCUUCUUUCAAUCCUGAAUCUGGUUCAGUUUUCUUAUUGACUUAUUACUGUAUUAAAAAUGUUUGUUUAAUUAA